GUCAGGAUGGCCGAGUGGUCUAAGGCGCCAGACUCAAGGGUUCACUCCUUCCUGAUUAAAGGGAUUUCUGGUCUCCAAAUGGAGGCGUGGGUUCAAAUCCCACUCCUGACA
RNAcentral lists this transfer RNA (111 nucleotides) under Perca fluviatilis (European perch). It matches the Rfam family "tRNA". Rfam says of the family: Transfer RNA (tRNA) molecules are approximately 80 nucleotides in length. Their secondary structure includes four short double-helical elements and three loops (D, anti-codon, and T loops). Further hydrogen bonds mediate the characteristic L-shaped molecular structure. tRNAs have two regions of fundamental functional importance: the anti-codon, which is responsible for specific mRNA codon recognition, and the 3' end, to which the tRNAs corresponding amino acid is attached (by aminoacyl-tRNA synthetases). tRNAs cope with the degeneracy of the genetic code in two manners: having more than one tRNA (with a specific anti-codon) for a particular amino acid; and 'wobble' base-pairing, i.e. permitting non-standard base-pairing at the 3rd anti-codon position. Lineage: Eukaryota; Metazoa; Chordata; Actinopteri; Perciformes; Percidae. The record is from Rfam by way of RNAcentral.